GAUGGCAAGGUGACAAAGGAGAACAUUUGUCCUUGCGGUAUGUAUGAAGCAUCUGUGGAGAGACAGGAGCUGUGCUGGCCAUGGAGGGGCAUUGGUGAGCAGCCAGCCAUGGCCCUGACCUUCUCAAGGUGGAUGGACUGACUAUACUGCUAUUUCAUGGGUGGUGCUGCUAUCCAUGGAUGAGACCCUCCACAUUACAAAGAUCCACAGAGAGUUGUCUGGAUUUAGAUAUGAGACACAAGAGUUGAGAAAUGGAAACGUCAUGGUGAUGGAAGGCUUUUGGGAAUGGUCACAUUGUUGGCAAGCAAGAGCGUAGGAUUCCAUCUCAAGCAACUGUCCCCAGGAUGUGUAUACUACAUGCAUCUAUCUGCCAUCUUGUCACCCACCUGCCAAUUUGGAGUUCCAGGCUGCCACCUCAUGUCUGGUUGACAUCCAUGUUUUACAUGUUGCCGAGAGGAUGAGAACCGAAUAAACUGGGUGAGAAAGAGCAAAGCUUUUUCUCAUGGCUUUGUAUGUGACAUUUGGUGAUAUUCGGGGAAAGGAUAAGGAAAAUGCAGACAGGGGUGAGACAAUUAUCCUUAAAAAAGUUCUCAGAGCAGUAUGCGUGCGUGCCCAAGAUCCUGAGAGGAGAAUGGAGGAGAAGGGAUUGUGACA
Long non-coding RNA from Tupaia belangeri chinensis (Chinese tree shrew), 654 nucleotides. RefSeq lists it as uncharacterized. NCBI's taxonomy places the organism in Eukaryota, Metazoa, Chordata, Mammalia, Scandentia, Tupaiidae. The record is from RefSeq and is a predicted model, not a curated record. The transcript has 3 exons.